GAUGAACGCUGGCGGCGUGCCUAAUACAUGCAAGUCGAGCGAACAGACGAGGAGCUUGCUCCUCUGACGUUAGCGGCGGACGGGUGAGUAACACGUGGAUAACCUACCUAUAAGACUGGGAUAACUUCGGGAAACCGGAGCUAAUACCGGAUAAUGUAUUGAACCGCAUGGUUCAAUAGUGAAAGACGGUUUUGCUGUCACUUAUAGAUGGAUCCGCGCCGCAUUAGCUAGUUGGUAAGGUAACGGCUUACCAAGGCAACGAUGCGUAGCCGACCUGAGAGGGUGAUCGGCCACACUGGAACUGAGACACGGUCCAGACUCCUACGGGAGGCAGCAGUAGGGAAUCUUCCGCAAAGGGCGAAAGCCUGACGGAGCAACGCCGCGUGAGUGAUGAAGGUCUUCGGAUCGUAAAACUCUGUUAUUAGGGAAGAACAAAUGUGUAAGUAACUAUGCACGUCUUGACGGUACCUAAUCAGAAAGCCACGGCUAACUACGUG
Molecule: ribosomal RNA, 497 nt
Filed under: uncultured bacterium
Lineage: Bacteria
Description: partial 16S ribosomal RNA
Rfam family: Bacterial small subunit ribosomal RNA
Source: RNAcentral